AGCAGCCGCGGUAAUUCCAGCUCCAAUAGCGUAUAUUAAAGUUGUUGCAGUUAAAAAGCUCGUAGUUGAAUUUCGGGGUUAGUAGGUUGGUCAUGCCUCUGGUAUGUACUGGUCUCACUGAUUCCUCCUUUCUGAUGAACCGUAAUGCCAUUAAUUUGGUGUUGCGGGGAAUUUGGACUGUUACUUUGAAAAAAUUAGAGUGUUUAAAGCAAGCUAACGCUUGAAUACAUUAGCAUGGAAUAAUGAAAUAGGACGUUCGAUCCUAUUUUGUUGGUUUCUAGGAUUGACGUAAUGAUUAAUAGGGAUAGUUGGGGGCAUUAGUAUUCAAUUGUCAGAGGUGAAAUUCUUGGAUUUAUUGAAGACUAACUACUGCGAAAGCAUUUGCCAAGGAUGUUUUCAUUAAUCAAGAACGAAAGUUAGGGGAUCGAAGACGAUCAGAUACCGUCGUAGUCUUAACCAUAAACUAUGCCGACUAGGGAUCGGAUGAUGUUAAUUUUUUAAUGACUCAUUCGGCGCCUUACG
RNAcentral lists this ribosomal RNA (522 nucleotides) under uncultured Glomus. RNAcentral describes it as "SSU rRNA". It matches the Rfam family "Eukaryotic small subunit ribosomal RNA", at positions 569 to 1092 of the family's 1831-position model. Lineage: Eukaryota; Fungi; Glomeromycota; Glomeromycetes; Glomerales; Glomeraceae. The record is from RNAcentral.